Molecule: non-coding RNA, 9132 nt
Organism: Ictidomys tridecemlineatus (thirteen-lined ground squirrel)
Lineage: Eukaryota; Metazoa; Chordata; Mammalia; Rodentia; Sciuridae
Source: RefSeq, a predicted model, not a curated record
CCCCAGAACUAACGGAACUACAUUUCCCAGAAAGUCUUGCGCGGGGGCGGAGGCGGCAGGGAUGCGAUGGCGGAGUCGCUGCCCCUGGAGAUGCUCACGUAUAUUCUGAGCUUCCUUCCUCUGUCAGAUCAGAAAGAGGCCUCUCUCGUGAGUCGGGCUUGGUACUGUGCAGCCCAGAAUGCCCUUCGGGAGACAAAUGUGCGGUACAACAUCCCAGUGUCUUCUGCCUCCCUUUUGGCCAUCAAGAGUUUGGGCCUCAGGGGCAUCUCCUGCAUCAGCCUGACCAACCUGGAUGGCUCACCAACCUCGCACCUGGUGCUGCAGUCUGUUGCCUACCACCUAGGCCCACACCUGCAGAGCUUGUGCCUGGGUGGGGGCAGUCCCACCGAGGCUUCCUUUGUGGCCCUGGUCCUGGGAUGCCCAGCUCUGCGCACCCUUGACCUCAGUGGCUGCAACAGCCUCUUCACAUCAGGCACACUAUUGGCUCAGCCAGAGAUGGCCCAGCGUGUCCGGCAGGCAUUGAGUGGCCUGCGCGAGCUCAAGCUGGCUUGCCUGCGGAACCUGGCCGAUCUCAGCUUCAACCAGCUCAGCAGCUGUGUCCCCAGCCUGGAGCGCCUCUCCUUGGCCUAUUGCCACCUCAAUUUUGAGCUGAGCCCAGCUCAGGGUUCCAUCAACCCCCAAGACUACUCUCCCUCCCAACUCUCCUUUCAUAACCUGCUGCGAUUUGUGAAAGAGCGAGCUGGCAAAUUGCGUGCCCUAGAUCUGAGUGGCACUGGCUUACCACCUGAGGCCCUACAUUCCCUGGGCCAGGUAGCUGGGCUGCAGCUUCAGGAGCUGAGCCUGCACAGCUGCCGGGACCUUUCCACAGAGGCUGUGGCCACCCUGUGCCGCCAGCAACCAGGUCUUAUCUCCCUGGACCUCAGUGGCUGCUCAGAACUGACUGAUGGGGCACUCUUGGCCGUGAGCCGUGGCCUGCAGCACCUGCAGCACCUCAGCCUGGGAAAGCUGCAACGGCUGACAGAUGCAGGGUGUACAGCCCUAGGGGACCUGCGAGAGUUGCAGAGCCUGGAUAUGACUGAGUGCUGCCUGGUGAGCGGGCGGGAACUGGCCCAGGCCCUGGGCUCGGUGAGUGGAGCUCCACCCCCACUGACCUCCCUCAGGCUGGCAUACUGCUCUUCGCUGAAGGAUGCCUCAAUGCUUUCUCUGAUCCCAGCACUGGGCCCAAGCCUUAGAGUGCUAGACUUGUCCUCCUGUGUGGCCCUCUCCAAUCGGACCCUGCAGGCCAUCUGCACCUACCACACCCACCUCUCUGUUCUGCGCCUGGCUUGGUGCAAGGAGCUCCGUGAUUGGGGGCUUCUGGGGCUGGAAGAAUCAAGUGAAAAGUCUGCAAUGUGUCCCCAGCUAUGCCCAGAGCUGGAGUAUCAGGCCUCAGGUCCUGAGGAUGCUUCUCCCAAGCCACAGAGUUCAUCCCUGCUCACACUGCAGGCCCUGCAGGAGUUGGACCUGACAGCCUGCAGCAAGCUGACUGAUGCCAGUUUGGCCAAGGUACUGCAGUUCCCCCAGCUGAGGCAGUUGUCACUGAGCCUAUUGCCAGCACUCACAGACAUGGGCUUGGUGGCAGUGGCCAGAGGCUGCCCCAGCUUGGAACACUUGGUGCUGAGUCAUUGCAGCCACAUCAGCGAUGAGGGCUGGGCCCAGGCAGCAGGGUACUGGCCAAGGCUGCAGCACCUCAACCUGUCCAGCUGCAGUCAACUCACAGAGCAAACUCUGGAUACCAUUAGGCAAGCAUGCAAGCAGAUCCGGGUAUUGGACGUGGCCAUGUGCCCGGGUAUCAACGUGGCAGCUGUCAGGCGCUUCCAAGCUCAGCUGCCUCAGGUGACUUGUGUCCAGUCCUGCUUCGUGGGAGGGGCUGACCUGACCCUAACACUCUGAGGCCAGGUCAGUAACCAUCCCUGUAACACAGCCUUCUUCAUCCCCAUAGUCCUAACCUGGGCUCCUGGACCUCGAUUAUGCCCCAGUGCCUCUUACCUCCUUUUGCUAUAGACUUCCUAUCUAGGUGUGGUGAUGGGACCAACCCAGGGCAUCCCAAGAGACUUCCUGCCCCACAGUCAAGCAGCAGUGGCUUUCCAACUACAUUUCACUUUCCUUGGGCCCAUGGGAAUGCCAGCUACAUGUUGCUGCCACAGGGUUCUGUUGUCCCUGCCAGGAGGCCAGCCCACAGGCAGACUGAGCAUGGAGCUGGGGAGCAGCUCCCCACAGGCAGAAGGGAUUUUGAGGUUCCACAAGGACAGAGGGUGCACGUGUACCUUCUGCUCCCUCCCCGAUUUCUCAGACCUAGAGCAUGUGCUCCACCUGCUCCCUAGGCAUAUUUUUCCAGUACCUAUAAGCACUGCAGCAGCCAAGCCACCAACUUUGCUGUAAAUCCAAACAAGAUUAAAAACUUAAGAUUUUACUUCUUGCCUGAAGUUUUCAGAUGAAAGGGCCCUUUCCCUCCCUACUCAGUUGACCCAAAGCCUUACAGACACCCUUUUAGUGACCUCAAGGCUGAUCCAUACUGGCUGAACUCAACCAGGUCCUAGCUUCUUCCCUACCUGGUAGGAAAGUCCAGAGGCCUAAAGGCUUUUCCCAGCACAACCUUCUUAGGUUUGCCUUAAAGCAAACGCAUUGUGCCAGGCCAAGCCCUUGGAGCAAUUGAUGAUGAUGCCUGAUUCAGUGAGGCCAUCUUGAAAAGUGGUGGAAAGAAGGGAAAGAAAUAGGACAGCAUCUCUGAAUUAAAGGUCAUCUAGUUUAACCACCUAAAUAGUACCAGUGACUUCUCAACAGCAGCUCUGAAAAACAUCUGUCAAGCUGACCCUCCAUGUGUCCCCAUACUUUGUCCAUCUAUCUUCUUAUCAGUUCUAGGAGCAGCUGGCAAAUGCUCUUCAAAUGCCUACAGGCAAAUGCCUACAGGCAUUGUGCUUCAUGUGGGUUUUCAGAGAUGCCAAAGCUCUCCCAGUGCCCAGGCCUUAGGGAGGCAAAAAGCCAACAUGGACAGUCCAGUGUACAGGGUAUGUAUAAACAGAGAAAGAAGCACCUGGAACCACAAGCCUAGGGAAGCAAUGAACUUGACCUGGAGGGUCAAGGAAAGAAUCAAGACAGAAAUGGGCAGAAGGGACUUUGAGGUUCCACAAUGACAGAGAGUACACAUAGGCCCUGAUGGUGUUCAGGGAAAAUGUCAGCUUGGACCAAGCUCCAAGAACCCUGCAGGCCACAAGCAUUCAUUUGGAAGGGCUAAAAACUACCUAAAAACUACAUAUUAGUGCCCACUCUUGACUAUUAGCCCACGAAUAAUAGAGAAACACUGAAGAAUAUAAAGUGUGUGCACCUGUGUGUGUGUGUGUGUGUGUGUGUUCAAAUCUGAUUCAAGAAAACAUCUGUAGUAGCAGGUAUUGAGAAGACUGAAAGAACAAGACUAGAGGCUGGUAGUCAGUAGGUUAUUGCCUGAUGGUGGCAUGGACAAGGGAGUAGAAACAUUGAGAAAGAAGAAUUGGCAGUAUUGGAAGACUAACCACAUCUGGAAUCCCUGUCCUCCCAUUUCCAACUUGAACUCAAGAGCAAACUGUUUUAAGCAUGGUGGAAAUCUCUGAAUCUAGGCAUGGGCAUCCUGGCUACCCAAGGAUCAAAAGUGUAACUUAGGGGGGCAAAUGUUCCCCCAGCAUGUUCUCCAUAGGAGAUGCCAUUUCAUCUGCUUUCAAGGUGAAACACUGAUGGUUAACACUGUUAAACACAAUCUUUGAGGAGACACUGGGAAGGAGAAAUAAUGAGUGGCAUGGAGAAGGAAGUCAGGAUGGUGGUAGCUUUCAGCCUGCCCUGUGGGUCCCAUGGGCUGCUAUGCUCUACUCUGCCUCAGUGGCUUGGAGGCUGUGGCCACAGACUCCAGCUGGGCCCAACACACUUUGCCUCAUCUGCCCAACAUCUCUCACCUACAUACAGCCCCCAUGUCACUCAUGCUCCUAAGUUAUGUUUUCAUCAGAACUGUGCAGUGCUUCCUGCACAGAGUUCCCUCUUGUCCAGAUCAGCCCAUAUACUCCCUCAAGCCUGGGGAUGCCCUUUGGAAUCUGAGCUUGUCCUUCAGCAGAAAGCAGGCCCAGUUUUACAUCUGUCCCUUUACUACCUGUCACCAGAGGCCUCCAGGUGCCACAAAGAACAUGGGCCAGAGCCAAGCAGGGAUGAAGACUGAGGUAAGAUUGUCAGGAGCUUUCUGGAAGCAGAGCUUCUAGACUAGGGUCCUAUUAAUGCUUUCCAGGAAACAUCCAUUUAGGGCAUUGUCUCCUGGCCUGCUACUUCUCUCAGCUAGCUGGUGAUCCUAGACAACAAGCUACUCUCUUUGCAGGCCCACACUCAUCUGGGAGAAGGGCAACAGCCCCAACCUAUCCAAACCCCCUAAAUGUAGCUGCUCAAGUUUGCAGUCCUACCUUGUUGUCGUAUCUCAUUCACUAAAUUUGAAGUCAGAGGAUGACUCUCGUGGUUUAGCCUACAAGGUUCAGAGCUAGCUUGACACACACCUAAGAGCCAAGCUGACUUUAUUUUUGCCCAUGCUUCUCUACCCUCCACCCCUUGUGGCUGGCACGGGUGGCAGCUGUGGCCCCUGGCCAGCUUGUCAAGAUUCAAUAAUGCUGCAGUCAUAGCAGAAAUUGAAGUUGGUGGGGGGUGGAGGCACAGGUGGUGGCUGCUCCGGGAUGGGCACAUUCUCUAGCUCCAACAAUCGCAGCUUGGUCUCCAUUGUCAACAGCUGCUCCAGGUCCAGCCGGGUCUGCUCACUGCCCAUAGGGCUGCCUAGCAGGGCAUUCAGCCCAUCUGUCCACAGAUAGUACUGGGGACGAUGGGGCCAGCUUCAUGAGAGACUGUUCAAUCUGCUCCCCUACCCGUCUGCUCCACUCAGCCUCACCCAGACACUCACAUCAUGUUUGGAGGGGGCAAUGAAGUUGAGGUAUGCCUCCUCCUCCCCGCGGUCAUAGCUGAUGGAGAAAGCCAGCUCAUAAAGAUCCUAGGGAAGCAGAAAGCAGGGACAUUGAGCAUGGACUAGCGCAGGCAGGCAAGAGGAAGCCACUGGUCCCACUAUAUAUACCUUGUUCUGCUUCCCAGAGCCCUUCUCCCGGACAUGGGGGCAGUCCUUGCCUGUCAGGAGUGCCCUGAUGUCAACAACAGGGACUGCAAGAAGAAAUACUGGGCUGAUCACUGGGGCCCCAGACAGCCCCAGGGCAUGGGGCAUCUGGAGAGAGCAGCACACUCAGAGACCCUGGCGCCUCCUGCUGCUGAUCUUGCGGAAGAGAGUCCCCUCGCAGAGGCGGAGCAAACGCUGCUGGCGGAUCAAGCUCAUGAGCUCUGGCUUCAGCUUCUCCCUCAGCUCUCUGGGUGGGAAGUGGGGAGUCACAGAUCAGGAUUGACCUAGGGCACCUUAGUAGGUGGGAGCUGGCACUGGAAAGCCAUUCCUACCAACUCACAGUAUGGGAGGGGCCAGUGUGCCCUCCUGGUGCAGUCGCUCUGUCUGCCUCAGCCGCAGCACCUCCCCGUAGGUGAGUGCGUUCACCUUGGUACGGAAGAGCUCCAGGGACGUAGGCUUCAGGGCCAGUGUACGAGCCAGCUGUUCCCGUACCACCUGCAUAACCUGGGGCCACCCUAAGCUCAGCUUGGGACCUGAGCUCUGGGGCCCUCCUCAGAGCAAUCUCCUUCGUUGACCUCCCAGUCCUCCCACCCCACCCCACCGACCUUGUCAAAAUCUUCCUGUGUUGCCCUCAUCUCUUUCCAGGUCUUAUUUAGCAGCUGGAUGGCCACACAGAAAAACUCAUGAAAACUCUGGUCCUGUCCGAAGAACAUGGGCGAGAAGUCCUGGGCUGUCUCGGAGCCUGGAGCGGGGGGGCAGGAGGGGCUCAGGGAGAAGGUGUGUGCAGCCCCUGGCCCUCUCUGCCCUUCCGUCCCCUGUCCCCAGAUACACUGCCCAGCUCCACUCACAAGGUUCCCCAACACGGAGCAGCUCACACAGUAGCACAGUCAGCUGGAUGCUGCUCCGGGCAAAGGGACACUCAUGUUUGUCCUCCCGGCUGCUGUUUUCCAACACGAACUGCGGUAGUGGGAGCAGAGAAUGGGGACAGUCUUGGCUAAGCCCACAGGGAUCCUGCCAAGGUGAGGCUACUGCCAUCCCCACUCCCCUACCCAGUAACUGACCCGGCUGUAUGCACUGGGUGCAUGUCUGGAGAAGUACAGCAUGUUGUCCAGGGCCAGCAAGCCUGGGGGCACACGUUCCAGGUCCUGCGCAGGGUUGCUGUUCUACGGGUGGGAGCACAUGCACUCAGAAAGGGCCAUAGCCUCUGGUAUAGUCAUAGCCUGAAUGGAGGCCAAGGUGGGGACUUGGGGUAGGGGUCACUCACAGAGAAGCCCAAUUUGCGAAAUUCUCGGGCACAGAGUGAACGUCGACGGUCAGCACUCAGCCCCGUGCUCAAGGACUCCCCUUCCAGUUCAAAGGCAGCCUGGCGCAGGGCCUGCAGCUGUUCCCGCUGCUCCUGGGGUCAUUAUUGGGGGGAACAAUAUCAUAGAUUUAAGGUCAAGCUUCAAGCUAUCCCCAAGCUUCAAGCUGUGCCCCACCCAUCUCCAAGACACACCUGGCUAUAGGGGUCAAGUGGUGUCCGCAUGCGUGGCUCUAGCAGCCCCAGUGUAAGGGCCUGCAGCACAUACAAGUGAUGGGCCAUCUCAUCACCCAGUGGUGUUGCACUAUGGAUGAUGUUCUGGAGGAAAGACAGACAAAGGGUUUGAGGUGGGCUUACUGGGAGAAGAGGCUGGGGAGGGGUUUCCCUAGUUUCCUACCUUGUAGAUGAACUGGCGAAGGUUUCUCUGCCAUAGGUAGUCAAGCAUGUGCUGAGGCGGAUGGGAAGGGGAAUUAAAUGAUUUAAUACUGGGGUGGAGCACAAUGCCCACCAGCUGAUCCUUCCAAGCUGCUACUAUAUAGAUAGAUACCUUCCUUUCUGUAGGGUUGGCUCCCUGCAGCAAGGCUGUAAGCAGGGCCAUUGCCUUGGUUUGCAGCUGCUGGUUCAUCCUAUAGCAGGAGGAGGGGUGGGCUCAGCUUAACACCCAGGAUCUCAUCCUGCUCCCCCAUCUAUAUCUCACCCCAGAGCUUACACCUGCAGGUGCACCAGUAGCCUAUCCAGUGGCACCUCACUCUUGACCAGCUGGCCCAGGGCAGGGCUGCUCAAGGUCACACUCUCCAGCAGCCGAAGGGCCAGGGGCUGCACAGAAGCAUCCAUCAGGUUCAUGUUCACAUAGCAUACCACCUGUAAGAGGGGUAGGGUAUUGUCGCCACCUGACCACCACAAGGGGCAGACCCUGGCACUGCCCAACUGCCCUACCCACAUCCCCUAGAAAAGCCCACCCACCUUCCUGACAAAAGGGAUGCUGAGCGUCUCCCAGGACACCACACCAUGCUCCAUAAGCUCCAGGAAGGCCUUCAGCCCGAGGGCUAGCACCUCUCCUAGGCUGGGGUAGGGGGCACAUUUGGGGCUGAGCAGGACCAGACCAGGCCCCCUAAGCCCUAUCAUGUCUCCAUCCCUCCACAGCCCUGUGCUCACUCGUCCCCAUCCUCAAUGAUGGUGCCUAGUCUCUGAAGCCCAUCACGGCUGAUGACCUCCUGGGCAAAGGUCAUGUCUGUGGCCAGCAGAACCAGGUGCCUCAGGGCUUCCUGGCGCACUUCUCGACUUGGACUCUGCAGCCCACCCAACAGCUUCUCAGCCUCAAGGUCCUGGCAGGAGUGGGAAGAGAGAAGAGGUGGAGUUUGGAAAAUUAAGGACUGGAAGAGUGGGAACCCAGAUUUCCACUAGGUGGGGCACUGCUGAGCUGGGGCCAGACCUAGGGCAGAGGCCACCAGGCACUUUAAAGGAGUGCAGUAGAGAGGCAGGCAAGAGAAGAUGGGGCCAAGAGGGGCAUUACUGGGGCAGUACUGAGGCACAGGAUGCUGCCAUUCUUGAUCUCUCCGCGGUUCUGCAGAAAACAGCAGAAAGGGGAAGCACAGUCAAGGAGAGUUCUGAGGGUGAUCAACUGGGUUGUCAGGAUUAGGGGAUCAGUGAAAUUCACUUUAGGAGAGGGGGAGGAUGAGUCUGCAGAAUCAGGGCCAGGUGGGUUAGAGAGGUCAUAGGGUGGAGCAAGGGGGCUGGGGAACAGGGGGACUAACAUUCUCAGUGAUGUAUCUCCUGUGCCCAUCAGCAAACUGCAGGGCGUACUGCUCCGAGUGAGUCAGGCUCCACCUGCGGGUCACAGAGCUCAGGGAGGCAGGUUGGAGGCUUCCUCCCGCUUACCCCUCCCCCACCCCUUGCCGGCCCACCGGGACUCACGCGUCGCACACCUCCUUCAACACAGCGGCCAGGGGUUUUGCCUGCAAGUGGAGCUGUCAUUCACGUGGUGGGAGUGGGGAGGAGUUGGGGGAUGGGGGGCUGAAUAAGGAGGGCUGAGCUGACCCGAGGGAAAUGGGUGACCCCAGAGGUGGGCAGUGGGCAGGAGGCCGGACAGGCCGGAUGACCUGGUCCAGUUGGAUGAGCUGUGGGAUGGCGUCACGCAUCUGGACAGCAAUCUUCACCACAUUCCGUGGGGGCGCCAUGGUCCAACCCAGCCGUGGGUGCCUGCACUUUCCACGAAAUGUGCCACCUCCUGCUGAGGGCGCACCUGCCCCGGAGUCCCUGAGGACGAGUAGGGCGUCCCUCUGUCCGCGACCUGGCUCCGGUGGCACGUACUCACCGACCAGGCCCCCACUCCUGGCCAGAAGCCGCGGCCUUCCCAAGGGAGCCAAGGCUAGUUCCGGGUUGGAGUCCGGGGGCAGGAGGGUAGGCCAGCGCCCGCCCAGCCUGCCUGCCCCAGCAAGACAGCCCCGCCCCACGCCAAGGUGUGGCAGGUGGGGGCGGGGAGGGCAGGCUGCCUGCUGCUGCUCCACUUCCCAUUCCAGCAAAGUGACCCAACGCAAUCCUGCCACCAAUCCAACGUAGUCCCAGAGAGGGGCCCAAAAAAAUCAGAUCAGAGAUAGCCUUAGGCAUGGUCUUUAUUCAUUUGGACACUGUACAAAUAUUACAAUUUCCUUUUGCUGCAAAAAGUAUAAAAAUAAUCUUUAUAUAGGAA